AGCCGAAACGCGCAGUGAUGCGCGUCGUGUUGGGUGUGGUGCCCAAUGCCUGACGACUGGUAGCCGUCA
This 69-nucleotide non-coding RNA is filed under the name Herbidospora galbida. Lineage: Bacteria; Bacillati; Actinomycetota; Actinomycetes; Streptosporangiales; Streptosporangiaceae. The record is from RNAcentral.